This 493-nucleotide long non-coding RNA is filed under the name Theobroma cacao (cacao). RNAcentral's name for it is "long non-coding RNA (TCAC_LNC004728)". The record is from RNAcentral. Lineage: Eukaryota; Viridiplantae; Streptophyta; Magnoliopsida; Malvales; Malvaceae.
AUGCAUUAAAGAAAAUUCAUUCUUACUAUUAUCACCAACUAUACAACAUCCAGUCAUACAUAGACGGCACAGAAUGUUUCUGAAAAACUAAGUCAACAUACCAAAAAUGUAGCAUUUACAUAAAGCAUCCAAGUAAGAAUGUCUCCAAACAAGUUACUGACAGUAACAAAGAAGUAGGAAUAAUUUCACUGGAUAGCCUCAUUCCAUUUAGUUUCCCCUCAUAAAAACAAACAAGGGUGAUAAGAUGAAUAAAGAAAAAAAACCCAAAAAAAGCAUCUCCUAACAUGCAUCUUUUGUAAUGUUUGAAAAUAAUGUAUUUGUUGCUAAUUUUUUUUAACUUCCUAACUAUCACCUCAAAAAUUGGAGGUUAGUUCAUUAUCCAACGGUCAGAAGCAACAAUCAUGAAGACAUCAAAUCAAGCCAUUUCAUUCUGCAAUAAAUGUUGCUGAACUCUAGAAUUUGUUCAUUUAGGAUUUGGUUUAGCAGAUCUGCG